Arabidopsis lyrata subsp. lyrata is the source of this 947-nucleotide long non-coding RNA. RefSeq lists it as uncharacterized. The record is from RefSeq and is a predicted model, not a curated record. NCBI's taxonomy places the organism in Eukaryota, Viridiplantae, Streptophyta, Magnoliopsida, Brassicales, Brassicaceae. The transcript is spliced from 3 exons.
UCUGUUGGUUUUCUCUUCUUCUUUUUCUUUAACUGAGUUCCAAAAAUCCCCAAAUCUAAUUCUAUGAAAUUCAAUCCAAGACCAUUUGAGUUAAGAAUCGAAAUCAGAGUUUGGGAAAUAGUUAAUCUCGAUUAAAAUUCCUUCAAUUUCGGCAAAAUUUCUCUUGAAAUCUGAUUCUUAGAUUCAUGAAAAGUUUUUAAAUUUUGAAAUCGUCGUAUGAACCUGUUUUACGAUCUAAGCUAUCUGCGGCGGUUACAGUUUCACCACCAGCUCCGGAAGAGAGAGAGAGACAGGGGUCGAUGCCGAUGAGGCGAGGCGGAGGAGAAAGGACAAUCUCGUCGAGAUUAGAAAAAAACAAGUGUGAGGAUAGUCUCCUCACGAAGCAGCAGCAGCAGCCUCCCGGAGCUGGCCUCGACGAAUGUUGCCGUCGUUGAGAAACGAUUGCAACAACGGGAAAAGAUUAACAACGAGAUUUAUUACCAUGUCCUUCUUCACAUGUAAUGCCUUCUGCUUCUCCAUGAGAUAUUGGUGCACCUUCUCUUGUUCCAAUUCGGGCUUCUAGAUCAUCUAUCAGAUCCUCAAGCUCUAGGUAUGGAGGAAGAUCCAAUCAACCUGCAUAUUCUAUGGAAGGUGAUCUGAAAAAUGAGUGUUGCUCUGUCAAAGAUAGAGAAUAAGUGGAAGGAAGAGCUUGAUCAAGAACUAGAAAGAAAGCGCACAAGUCAAGUCUUUUUUGUGACAAUCAUGAUUGUACACUGCACGUACUUGUGAAUUAAGAUUGCAUAUGACUUAUGUUUUUGUAUUUCAUUUCUGUAUUUUGUUGUGUUGUAGAUUAAGAACAUAUUACUACAUGUACAACUAGAUCCCUUAGGUACAACUGAGAAAAUUUUGGUAUAACUUGAACUACUUGGUGCAACUACACUAUUUGAUUGUUCAGAUAGUUUUUUUUU